This 802-nucleotide long non-coding RNA is filed under the name Rattus norvegicus (Norway rat). RNAcentral describes it as "long non-coding RNA NONRATT026785". The record is from RNAcentral. Lineage: Eukaryota; Metazoa; Chordata; Mammalia; Rodentia; Muridae.
GACCCAGCUAACCCAGAACCUUGGCUAGUGGGAAGAUGGGUCUCAAGCCAACCUUCAUGAAGGCAGACACUGUCAGGAUGCUAUCACAGUGCCCCAUGUUGCAGAAGAUGUGACAUGAAAAUGACAAGACACUGGAGAGAGAGACGGGACAGUCAGAGCUCCAUGACAGAAGACUGUGGGGCCUGCAGGACUGAGCCAGGCCCUCUCGGGCAGCAGCCUAUAGCAGAAUGAGACCUCCAGGGUCCAGUCCUCCACAUCCCUCAGCACAGAAUGCAGUCAGUCUCCUGUGCAGUGUCUCUCUGACUCUGGAGCUAAGUGUCACCCAAAUGCCAGGGUCAGAGUUAGUAAAGGAGAGGAUACAUUCCCAGCUGGCCAUGCCAAGAGACCCUCACCUCACCCAGCCUCUGCUACCCCACAAGGCAGGAAUCCUACGUGGUGUCACUUCCCAGCUCAUGUAGAAUAACCCCAGGCACCAUGCAUGAGGUGAGCAUGGGCUAUGAAUGUCAGGAGACCCAGAGUCUCAGUGGCCCUGUCACUGUCACCAUCCACUUGGUUUCUGUCCUGGCUUGCUUUGUCUUUAAUUUAUGUGCUGCUUCUCUCAUGGUUUAGGUAGUUUUCUAUCAAGAAUAAACACAAACCAGGUAGUGGUGGCACCAAUAAUUCUAGCACUCGAGAGACAGAGACAGGUGGAUGUCUGUGAGUUCGAGGCCAGUCUGGUCUACAGAGUGAGUUGCAGGACAGUCAAGGCUACAGAGAGAAACCCUGUCUCAAUAAAUAAAUGAAUUAAUAAACAAUCAAAUAA